Molecule: small nucleolar RNA, 107 nt
Organism: Dioscorea cayenensis subsp. rotundata (Guinea yam)
Lineage: Eukaryota; Viridiplantae; Streptophyta; Magnoliopsida; Dioscoreales; Dioscoreaceae
Source: RefSeq, a predicted model, not a curated record
AACCCAUAUUGAGGACAUUUCUAUAGGGGCUCCUUGAACUUAUCCCAUGUCUCAAAAAGGCACUCAAAGUUUGUUUUCACAAAAGAAGAUAUCUCAUUCCUAAGCUU